UACGUAGGUGGCAAGCGUUGUCCGGAUUUAUUGGGCGUAAAGCGCGCGCAGGCGGUUUCUUAAGUCUGAUGUGAAAGCCCUCGGCUUAACCGAGGAGGGUCAUUGGAAACUGGGAGACUUGAGUGCAGAAGAGGAAAGUGGAAUUCCCGGUGUAGCAGUGAAAUGCGUAGAUAUCGGGAGGAAUACCGAUGGCGAAGGCAGGUCUCUGGGCUGACACUGACGCUCAUGCACGAAAGCGUGGGGAGCAAACAGG
RNAcentral lists this ribosomal RNA (253 nucleotides) under uncultured bacterium. Its description in RNAcentral is "partial 16S ribosomal RNA". It matches the Rfam family "Bacterial small subunit ribosomal RNA", at positions 524 to 776 of the family's 1533-position model. The record is from RNAcentral.